CUCACUCUUCUCUAAAACAUCCAAGCUCGAACUUGCUUUCUUCGUCUUCCUCCUUCUCUCGUCAUUUCCUAUAAUUCUCUCAUAUCACUUAAACCACACACCAGAACUAAAAUAUAUUUCGUUAUUAUUCUCUUACAUAAGUCGCAUAAAUAUCAUCAAAAAUGUCUUGCCUAGAGAUUUAUAACAAAGACAUGAUGAAGAAGAAAGGAGAAGGAGAAGAAACGAGAGAUGGAACUGUGGAUUACUAUGGUCGUCCCUCUAUUCGUUCCAACUCGGGCCAAUGGGUUGCUGGCAUCAUCAUUCUUGUGAACCAGGGGUUGGCCACACUGGCAUUCUUUGGAGUUGGAGUGAACUUGGUGCUGUUCCUAACGCGCGUGUUGCAGCAGAACAACGCAGACGCAGCGAACAACGUUAGCAAAUGGACAGGAACUGUUUACAUCUUCUCAUUGGUCGGAGCGUUUCUCAGCGAUUCAUACUGGGGUCGUUACAAGACUUGUGCUAUCUUCCAAGUCAUUUUUGUCAUCGGACUUUCAUCGCUAUCUCUAUCGUCAUACAUGUUCUUGAUCAAACCAAGAGGUUGCGGGAACGAAGUCACGCCUUGCAGUACACAUUCAACAAUGGAGAUCACAAUGUUCUACCUUUCUAUCUACUUGAUCGCUUUGGGGAACGGCGGUUACCAACCGAACAUAGCAACGUUUGGAGCUGAUCAGUUCGAUGAGGAGCAUCCUAAAGAAGGGUACUCAAAGAUAGCCUUCUUCAGCUACUUCUACCUCGCUUUGAACCUAGGUUCCCUCUUCUCCAACACCAUCUUGGGAUAUUUUGAGGAUGAGGGGAUGUGGGCACUCGGGUUCUGGGCCUCCACUGGCUCUGCCGUCUUGGCUUUGAUUCUUUUCCUCGUUGGAACACCGAGAUACCGACAUUUCAAGCCAACGGGGAACCCUCUUUCGAGGUUUUGCCAAGUUUUGGUCGCUGCAACGAAGAAAUCAUCGGUGGAGGCGCCGUCAAGAGGGAGAGAGGAGAUGUACGAUGAAGACAGACAAGAGAAAAAUGAUUCAGUAAACAACACAGGAAGGAGAAUAAUGCAUACUGAUGAGUUCAAGUUCUUGGACAGAGCAGCUUACAUCACAGCAAGAGAUCUUGAUGACAAGAAACAAGGGGGAGUGAACCCAUGGAGGCUUUGUCCUGUGACACAAGUUGAGGAAGUGAAAUGUAUACUUAGACUGAUGCCGAUUUGGCUCUGCACUAUAAUCUACUCGGUCGUCUUCACCCAGAUGGCAUCUCUCUUUGUGGAGCAAGGCGCAGCGAUGAAGACCACUGUCUCUGAUUUCAAAAUCCCUCCCGCAAGUAUGUCCAGCUUCGACAUCCUCAGCGUCGCUUUGUUCAUAUUCAUAUACCGCAGAGUUCUAGAGCCACUAGCCACCAGAUUCAAGAAGAAGGAUGGAACAAAGGGAAUCACAGAGCUUCACAGGAUGGGUAUUGGACUUGUGAUUGCUAUCUUAGCUAUGGUUGCAGCUGGACUUGUGGAAUGCUUUAGGCUUAAGUAUGCAGACAAGAGCUGCACUCACUGUGAUGGCUCAAGCUCAUUAAGCAUCUUCUGGCAGGUUCCACAAUACUCGCUCAUUGGAGCAUCAGAAGUGUUCAUGUACGUGGGCCAGCUCGAGUUCUUCAACGCGCAGACACCUGACGGACUGAAGAGCUUUGGGAGUGCUCUAUGUAUGAUGUCAAUGUCGAUGGGGAACUUUGUGAGUAGCUUGCUGGUGACGAUGGUGGUGAAGAUCUCUACAGUGGAUCACAUGCCUGGUUGGAUUCCAAGGAACCUCAACAAAGGUCACUUGGACAGAUUCUAUUUCCUCCUGGCUGCCUUGACCAGCAUUGACCUGGUGGUGUACAUUGCAUGUGCAAGGUGGUACAAAAGUAUAAAACUAGAAGCGAAAGAUGAGAUGCAAGACAUGUUGAGUGAUGAUGAUGUAAGUGACACCGACAGUGACGACUACGAGGAGCGACCCAAGGAUUCCAAAGUCUAACAAAAUGUGUGUUCGGUUUUUCAAAUUUUUUUGGUUUGGUUUGGUUUGGUUUCCCGGUGAUGUAACAUGCAAACUGAUUGAUAAAUAAAAAACUAAAUCAAUUAUCAAUCGAUGAGAAGCAACAUGGUUUCAAUGUACCUGUAAGAGUUUCACCUUUGGUAAAAGAGCCAGUCUCUGUA
Molecule: RNA transcript, 2203 nt
Organism: Brassica rapa (field mustard)
Lineage: Eukaryota; Viridiplantae; Streptophyta; Magnoliopsida; Brassicales; Brassicaceae
Gene name: protein NRT1/ PTR FAMILY 7.3
Source: RefSeq, a predicted model, not a curated record